RNAcentral lists this ribosomal RNA (253 nucleotides) under uncultured bacterium. RNAcentral describes it as "partial 16S ribosomal RNA". It matches the Rfam family "Bacterial small subunit ribosomal RNA", at positions 524 to 776 of the family's 1533-position model. The record is from RNAcentral.
UACGUAGGGUCCGAGCGUUGUCCGGAGUUACUGGGCGUAAAGCGCGCGUAGGCGGCGGUGUUGGCCCGGCGUGAAAGCCCCCGGCUCAACCGGGGAGAGUCGUCGGGGACCGCACCGCUUGAGGGCGGUAGGGGCUGGUGGAAUGCCUGGUGUAGUGGUGAAAUGCGUAGAGAUCAGGCAGAACACCUGGGGCGAAGGCGGCCAGCUGGGACGUCCCUGACGCUGAGGCGCGAAGGCGUGGGGAGCGAACGGG